Lupinus angustifolius (narrow-leaved blue lupine) is the source of this 89-nucleotide microRNA precursor. It matches the Rfam family "mir-156 microRNA precursor family". From Rfam's summary of the family: This family represents the plant microRNA (miRNA) precursor mir-156. Animal miRNAs are transcribed as ~70nt precursors and subsequently processed by the Dicer enzyme to give a ~22nt product. In plants the precursor sequences may be longer, and the carpel factory (caf) enzyme appears to be involved in processing. The record is from Rfam. Lineage: Eukaryota; Viridiplantae; Streptophyta; Magnoliopsida; Fabales; Fabaceae.
GUGACAGAAGAGAGUGAGCACACAUGGUACUUUCUUGCUUGAUGAUGUUUCAUGCUUGAAACUAUGUGUGCUUACUCUCUAUCUGUCAC